GAGAGUUAAACAGUACGUGAAAUUGUUGAAAGGGAAACGAUUGAAGUCAGUCGUGCCGGCGCGAAAUCAGCUUGACCGUAGGAGAUCACAGGCUGUGGCGAGCCUCAAAACCGCCACAACUUGUGCUCCCCUGUCGGCCUCGUGCACUUUCGUGUCGGCUGGUUAACAUCAAUUUCGAUCGUCAUAAAAAGGCUGGAGGGAUGUGGCUCCUUCGGGAGUGUUAUAACCUUUGGCGGAAUGUGGUGGUCGGGAUUGAGGCUUGCAACGAAUACCUUCAGGGCUGUUCCACCUGGCCUCUCAUCGGAAUUCUGGCGGCGACAGCUUGCUGACGUUGUUAGGAUCGGCCUUCGAACAGGCUAGAGUGUGAGCAAAUUCGUUAAGGAUGUUAACGUAAUGGCUUUAAACGA
This 407-nucleotide ribosomal RNA is filed under the name uncultured Entrophospora. RNAcentral describes it as "uncultured Claroideoglomus partial 28S ribosomal RNA". The record is from RNAcentral. Lineage: Eukaryota; Fungi; Glomeromycota; Glomeromycetes; Entrophosporales; Entrophosporaceae.